This 786-nucleotide long non-coding RNA is filed under the name Mustela putorius furo (domestic ferret). RNAcentral's name for it is "lncRNA (ENSMPUG00000030880.1)". The record is from RNAcentral. Lineage: Eukaryota; Metazoa; Chordata; Mammalia; Carnivora; Mustelidae.
CUAAGAAACGAACAGGCUGACCUUUUCAGAGCGUCUGAAAGAAAAAACCAGAUGUAUUCCUCAAGAGUCACUGUGACUGAAGGCUCGCAUUGUGCAGUCACAUAAAGGGAGAGCUAACCAGAAAACAGCAGCUGAGGAUCUGAAGCCGGGCUGUGCUAUUGUCCAGCACACAAAUGUUCUACAAGGACCCAGACCACCAUGCAGUUCGCUGUGCGCAGACUAUGGAGCUCUCCGCACCUCUUUCUCUCUCCACAUCUUAUGACAACUCGGGCCUCUGUAAGCGAUGUCUCCUACUCGUUAACGAGACCCUUGCGGAAAGCAGAGCACAGAACCACACGGUGCCCCCGACGGCCUCGGGUCCUCUUCCCAGCCCGGAACUCUGACUCUGGGACUGCAGGAUUUGGCAGGUCUGCUGCGUGUCAGCUAUCAGAAGAUUCAACUGAGGCCAUGAACAUGAACAUGCUUGGCACAGACCAGGUGCUUUGUACCAGUCAGCGCCCGCUCUGCCAGCACCUGCCGGCGCUCCUACAGCAGCUGGGGCAGAGGGCCAUCAUCACCGCGGUGACUACGGGGCUGUCUGCCACCAGCAGCACCGCUGUCAAGUGCAGCACUGCGUGCCCAGACCUGGACUUGGGCCCUGUCAAGUUGUGAGCGUGGAGGACCACACGGCCCCCAGAAAGGAGCUCUGUGGCCCGUCAUGCUGAGCAGCCUGGGCCAGCACCAAGCCUGGGAACUGAACAUCCGUCUGCCAGAUCCUGGCUCCGAGUGCUGGUAUGUGACCACACA